This is an RNA transcript of Motacilla alba alba, 10648 nucleotides long. It is a transcript of the gene named ankyrin repeat domain 10, with no coding region annotated. The transcript is spliced from 5 exons. The record is from RefSeq and is a predicted model, not a curated record. NCBI's taxonomy places the organism in Eukaryota, Metazoa, Chordata, Aves, Passeriformes, Motacillidae.
GGCAUUUGGGUCAGUGGUCCCAGCUGUGACACAUCCCAGCCUACUCCUAGCUACAACAUUGGUGUACUAAUAACACUUUGCUGGUCACAAACCCAAAACAUCUUACCAGGCACUAUCAAGAAAAUUACCUCUGUCCCAUCCAAAACAGUAUACAUAGUUGAAAGUUUUCAGUGUAAAUGUGUGUGGGAGCUUUUUAUUUUAAAAAUAAAUUCCCGCAAGUAAGUUGCUUUUGGUUGGGUGGGUUGUUUAGGUUUUGGGGUUUUGUUGUUUUGGGUUUUUUGUUUUGUUAUGGUUUUUUUGUUUGUUUUGGUUUUUUUUGUUUGGUUGCUUUUUUUGAUAAAUGGAAGGAAUAUAAAGGUACCAAUGAGUGCAAGCAGUUGAAUCAUGUCCAGGGACUUGGAAUUUGGAGAACAAAAUAGAAAAUGUGUUCUGAAUUCAACUGGUCCGUCCUCAAGCCAAACAGAAUUCAGGUCCCAAAAAGACAGAAGGAAGAAAAAUGGAGUAAAAAAUGGCUUUAGACUGAAUUGAAAAAAAAUACCCAUACAUGAAGGAGGCCUGGGAAGAGAGUUUGAGAAAGUAUUUAAUCAGUAGAGGAAGUGUCUUUUGAGGUUAAGAGCAUAGUGAGGAACUGGAAACUGACUAAUCAAGCUGAGAUAGAUUUACUGAUUAAAGCCAAAAAAAGCAAAAUACUCUUCAGCCACAUAAAUAAAGAGAUAAUAAGGAAGGAAGCUAGAUGUUUAUUCAGUAAAAUGAAAUAGAAGUCAAAGGUAAUCUGGUCAUGACCCCAAGCUAGAGAAAACUGCCCUUGUCUGUGUGAGGGGUAGCCAUUCUUUCCAAGGGAAAGGAGGAAGGCAUUCAGCAAUGAGUUGCAAAAACUAAAUGUGUUUGUGAUGCUUCAUGAAUUCUUUUUGCCAUUUCUUAAGAGCACUUUGUGCAAACUAUUUAGUAACCACAGAACCAAUCAAAUGUAUUAUCUUGAAUGCUAAAUUAAUGGAACUUAGUUUGAGUUUCUACUCCUUUGUUUAUAAUGCAUCCCCUAGAUUGUGCGACAAGUUUGGGCUGUUUGUGCAGUGUUGCAACAGAGGGACAAAUUCAAGUCAUUGAUGCUUCUCUUCCUGGAAUAUUAUUACAAAAGGGAUUGUAUCAGACUCAAGCACGGAUGGGGAGUAUGAUCAAUUUAAAGGAUUAUGAGGUGUUAUCAGGGUAAUCAGGAAUUAAUAGAGCUUCUCAAAAUAACUUCUUUUGCGAGAUUAAAGAGAUAGGAAAGAAGCAUCUUACAUAUGAGAAUGUGCUGUCAGGCUGUACCCUGAACUGCCCUCAGAAAAUUCUUGGAAAAAAUUGUUACUUUGUUUUCCUGUUAGGUCACAUCCAUUCCAGUUGUUGAAUCAAAACAAUUGUUCUGAGACUCAUACAGACUACUUUUGUUUUCUUCUGUAUGCAUUGAAAGAUAUAAAAGCCAUCUUUCAGUGGGAUAUAUAUAUUUUUCCAUAUAUAUUUCUUUUCCAUUUAGUCAAACUUAUAAUCUAGAGAGAAUUUCUGAGGAGAGCUAGCAAAGUGUUUCAGUGCAAAUAUAUUUGGCCCCUUAUGAGAAUUUCAAAGCAACAUAAUAGUAGUGAUGACUGAAAUUUGGGUGCUGUAAUUAAAAGGAAUGCUAUAAAAAUCUAAAUCUGUGUAUUCUGUCAUUUUUAAAAUAUUUUUUGAAUUCCUUAACUUUAGACACAUGGUUUUCUGGGCCAGUGAUUAAAAGCAGCCCUUCUCAAGACAUAUAUUCCCUUCUGAAGUACUAAUCUUUUCUGUUUGGUGAUGGAAGUGAUUGCUGCUAUACGCUUAACUUAUACUUCUUAUGUAAAGCUGGAGAGUCCUUUUGCCAAGGUCUUCUCUCCUCUUUGUUUCUCCACAGCAAUGUUGGAGUUCAGUUCUCUAGAUCUUACUGUGGGCAGUGUGCCAGGUUUAUAGGGCUAGGGAAGAUUUUUUUAUCUUUGUCAUAUGCAUGGCCAACUAACCCUAACCUCAAUAUGAACUUCAUAUUGAGUGAAUCUCUUGUAACUAAGCCUGGGGCUUGUAGAUACUAAUGCUGACCAAAAGAGGCAAAUAAUUUACUUUCUAUACUUUGACCACUUUACCAAAAGGGGGGAGGGGAGGACACAGUAACAGAAUGAUGAAUAGAAGACAGCUUUUAUGACUGGAAAAUUUAUUACCCAAAUAAAUUUUUUCUGGAUAAAUCAGCCUUGAAUAUAUUUCCGUGUAUGAUAGUUUAAAACAUUGUAUCCUUUCUUAAACUUCAUUCUCUUCCUGUUACUUCAGGGGAAGUUACAAAUAAGGAAAAUUUGCAUAAACUUCACUGGAAAGCAAUCUUCUAUCCAUCAGCUGAAGCUGAAGACACUUUGGAAUAAUGGCUUUCUAGCCCUUGUCUAAUCUCUAAGACAUUUGCACCUCUUUCCUGUGUCCAAACGUCGUCAGCCUCAACAAUUUUCCUUAUUUUAUAAGAAAGUAAACUUUGUUUGAUGCCAUUGUUGUUCCCUGCUGGGUGUGCUGGGUAGUUCACUGUUUGGCUGAAUAUAUGUCUUAAACACUGGUAAACUGGCUUACCAUCAGUGAAUUUGUAACUUGUUAUAAAGAUAUUUCAUCAUGAAAUUAAAUUGUUAAGUUGAAAAUUGAGAAUACAUACCUUAUAAUCCAAAAUUCAUUUUCAAGUUAUACUUAUAUGGUCUAAAAGAUAGGAUUAAAUUUCUCAAAAGCUUGGCAGACAAUUUAAGACACUUAGUAGCUUCUAGGUGGUAUGAUCAUAUUUUGCAUAGAUUCACAUUUCAAGUAGAGCUGAAGUCUAGCCAGUACUGUGGAGUUAGGCAUGAACACUGUUGUGUGUAAACACUGGUGAAUCAGUAAAGGUGCUGUGUUAAUUUAAUAGCUAUUGUUGUUGAUAUUUUAAUAAAUAAUAGCUAUUGUUGUUGAUAUUUUAAUAAAAGGAACAGGGAAGCUAAACUGAGGCACAUACAGUUAGAACAAGUUUAAUAUCUGGAACAGACUAGUGAAGUCUGUCAAAAGUUUGGAGACAAAGAGAAGGGGGAAGAAAACAAAGCAAAAAAAACCCUAAAAAAACCCUUGCUGCACUGUGGAAGUGUUGAGGAUGAAUCACAUUAACAGAUCAGUGAAAACAUUUACUUGCUACUCCAAGGCAGUGUUUCAUUACAGAUUCUUCUCAGUGGUUCCUAAUGCUGGUGGUUAAUUGCAAGUACUGAAUUUCCUCUGCAGCCUGUAGAUCAUGAUGCAUGAAUUUACUUGCUGCUUGCUUGGAUUUGUGAAAUUGUUGUAGAUCCUCCCUGUUACCUGUAAGACAGUUAGUGGGGAGGAGUUGCCUGAACAGCAAUACUCUACCCUCAGUAUGUCUGCAAUUAUGCAAAAGAAUCAAAUUAUUUGAUGUGCUGGUUAAUAAUAAUGGAAUAUAAAUUGACAGACAGUCAGAAAAGACAAAUAUAUAGGAUGUGAAUCAAUGUGUAUGUGUUGGGAGAGAUCUGGCCUGUCCUAUGAACACCUCUAUUGCAGUAGAGCUCUGCGUAUGUGCUCCUCUCCUGCCAAGUACUGAUGGUGCAACCCUCAAGGACUGAGUCAGUGUGCCAGCAGGAUCUGAAAGCAGCACAGUCCCACAGACUCUGCCUUGCUGCUCCCAAGCUCACGAGGGCUUGUGCAGUCCAGUGUAUUGGGAAAGGAGUGCCAGGAAAUGAAGGUGUUAGAAUAAUGUGCUACGGUGGUGGAUGUUGGGAGGGUUAACCAGUUUUCUGAAUAUAAGUCUGCUGAUUGUUGAGCUAUUGGAUAAGGCUUAUCUUGUGAGUUAAAUGCCUUUAAUGUUACUUCUUGCUAAAAGUCUAAUGUACUUGACAGCCAACUGCAGACUUUAAAGUAAUGAUAAAGUACCUGAUGUAUUUGCUAGCUAAUAAUAAAUGCUUCUUUUAUAUAUCUGCUCUCUUAAUUAAAGUAAUGUAAUAAUCAUAUUUUAAUUUUUAGAAAGAUUAUGCUUGACAAAAUGUAGUUUGUCUUUACAGGAUUAUGUUGGUGAAACUCCUAUUCAUAAAGCAGCACGGUCUGGUAGUAUGGAUUCCAUAAGUGCCCUUGUGGCUCAUGGUGCGCAAAUAGACUGAAGCAUAUUCUGUGCACAGUAUGUCCUACAGCCAUAAAAAUGGUUGCUCCACUAACUAUGGUAUUCAUGGACCCUUGAAGAGGGGGAAGCAGGUGGUCACAAUGUCCUCAUAUGAGUGAAAAGGUUUGCUGUGUAACUGACUUUUUAAUGUGGAUAGUACCUUUUAAAGUAUCCAUAAUUACUGCUGGAUUUUCACUAAAAGGCAUAUUUAUGUAUGGUUAAUUGUGUAUUAUUUAUCAUGGUGACAGACAAGUGUCCACAGAUCUUUAUGACAGAGGAAAAGCCUUCUUGGUGCCAUGUUUUGUUUUGCUCUUUUGCACUGUUAGUAAAUGCUGUGUUUUAAUGUAGUUAUAUAGAUUGUAUCACAGCAUAUAUAAAAAUACAAAAUUCAGCUGUAAACACAGGACACUGUUGAACCAAAAACAAGCAGAUGCAAGUGUUGAUUAUCCUGCUUCAUGCCCAUUUGCAUGUGGUGCACUUGUGCAUUGUGUCCACUUAUCUCUUAAUAAAAAUUCUUCUGCAGCUGUCAUUUAAGCAGUUGUGUAUUCCUUAGUGUCUUGAUUUUGAGCUUAGAGGGAAGUUUCAAACACUGUGUUAUCCUGGAGUAGAGAGAGGUGUAACUUGUGGAAUGGGCUGUGGCUUGGUAUCCACCCAUCCAAUUGAACACAAAUUCUUGCUUGCAUAAAGAUUUUACUGAUCACAACAUUUGAAUAGUAUUAUAGAAAAGCUUUUUAUUUGCCUGGCAGAAAUCUUCAGGAUUUGGGUAAAUUUGGGUUGUAUACCAUGAUGGCAUGUUAUGAUUCCCUAAAAAGAUAAUUUCCUUUCUAGUUUAAUAUACUCUGGUCUCAAGGUUUGAGUAGAAGCAGUGACAUGCUGAGAUAAAUAAACCAGUACAUCUGUUUCCACCAGAUGACAGAUUCAUACUGUGAUGUUGAUCUGGUUUAGGCAGACACUUCAGCCACUUUCUUGUUAAAGCUGUCUGGCAUUCAUCUGAGUGUGUAAAUUCAAUGCCAGAAAUGUCCUAUCACUGAUACUAAGUUUUUCAGCAAGACCUUUAUUCUCAUUCUUUGACAGGGAUUUACUUAAUUUUAUUUAUUCUUUUCAAACUCAUAUGUCCCAAACUGCAUUGUGUUGUUUAAAAAGGCAAUAUUAAUAUAAUUUUUCUUCACAACUGCUAUCCAUCUUCCAUUACAGAAAUCGGUCUGCUGUGAUUUUUUAGUGCUGCUGGAUUAGUCCUUUGUGAAAUUCUUGUAUCUUUGUUUAACGUCACCACUCUUGUGAUAUCUCAGCUUUUAUUCUUCUCAUUUGUACUUUUGAGAUUUCUUGACUUCCUGAAAAUCAGCCACCUCUAGUGAAGAGACAGUGAUGUGUCGUUUUCAUGACGGCACACAAGUCGGCCAUUCCUUUCUGAUGCAAACUCUCAAUUCCUUUUCAGUCUGGAGGGGAAGCUUACAUGGCCUGUUUUCUUGAAGGGUCUCAGGGUUCAGAAAUCUCCUGUCUUAGUUAAUGGAUCGAUUUCUUAAAAUCUUAGGAGCUAUUUGCAGGUUCUUACUGUGAGCUUGUUUUUCUUGCCUAGCUAACUUAACUACCAAGCUUUUAAUACUGAGCUGCAGUCCAUUUCUGGGGUUAACAUACUGGUGAAGUGCCACAACUAUGUCACCUCCUUACUUCAGAAGUUGUAUUACAGCAUCGAUUCAAUGUAGAAGAAGCAACAUUCUACUUUCUUACAGUCAUUAAAUUAACCUCAUCUUCAGAGUAAUGCUUCUGGAUCUUACUGAUCAUUUGGAUUUUGGUGCUUUUUCAACUGAGAGGUUCUUAUCUGUUAACUAGUAUAUUAGUGCUUGUAUAAUCUGUUUGGUACUUUCCAAACUCAGACCACUUUAUACACAUUCUUUUUACGAACCUGAUUGCCUCCAAAUACUAGUUAAACUGCUGGAUUAAUUGCUGUUGUUGCAUUAUUAAACAUUGCUGUAUAAUUAAGGAAGAAUACAUGGCAAUUCUUGUUUAAUUGUAUGUAACAAGCAUUUUAAGGGCCAUCACUGUGGUAUUCUUGUAAGUGACCAUUUUUCAGUGUAGAGGAUACACGUGUUGGAAUUUAUUCUGCCUUUCCCAUUUUAUAUAAAUUGUUGUGGGAGGGCAAAUUCAAAUGGUUCAUUUCAACGGUGAAACACUAAUUCUCCUUUAAAAGAACUGCAAGUAAAGCUUGGUAAUUUCUUCCAUGUUUGGUUUCCUGUUUGGUUGCUAUGGUUGUAGCAGUACUUGAGGUGGUUUGUAGGAGCUUGUGAUUAUGAAGUAGGGCAGUAAUUUGGAUUUAGUCUGAAGAAAAGAUUUGGAAAUACUACAGCAGAAUGUAUAUGCAUGGGUGACUGACAAAAAAUGAGAGAGGUGCAGUCUUAGACUAAACCAGUCUGGAAAAAUGUAGUUUUCAGAGUUACUGACACUUCUAAUAAUUGCAGGAAGCUGAGGGAAACCACUGAAUUCCUGUUCCAUUCGAAUGCAGAUUAUUCUUAGUGGGGGUGGAAUAACAACAGUGAUUACUGACAUCAGCUGGAAAAUAGCACAGAGUGUGAGAGGCUGUGCUUUUUAUGAAUAAAGUAAAAUCCAUCAUUAAAGCAAUGAUACUCAGGACCUUUCUGGAACAUAAAGAGGAAAUUCACUAGAUGCAUGUGAGCUUGAUAGUUUAGCUUAUUCAUUAGUGAGAAGCCUUAUAGCACUGGUUUCUUGACUUCACUCCAAGAGAGCUGAGUAAAGAAUAUGGAAGUGUUAUCAAGACUUUUAUAUGCAGAUUGCUCAGAUUUCUGGCAGGAAUGUUUGGGGUUUUUUUUGUUGGGACUGAGCUACCUUCAUGUAAGAUACUGUGGAUACUGUGCUGAUGUUCACAUAAAUGUGUGCAGUUUCCCUUGAGAUAGAUUUUUUUUUUCCUGCAAGAUAAGCUAUUCUGUUGCUAUUCUGGCUACAGAAACCCAGGUACAGUUAAGUCAAGUGGAGAAACCAAAGUAUCAUCAAGAGGAGCUUUGCCAGAGUUAAAUACAGUGAAAGAAGCAAUUAUAUCCCAGACACAGUAGUCUUACUAGUUCUGAUGGUUAGUCCAGAUGUCAGUGAUGGUCAUGUGUAGGGAUGCUAUGCUUGAUCUGGCAAUAGUUUUUUACUAGAUAUGUGAUGAGAGGAUUGUUUAUUGCAACGUCUGCUCUAGCCUCUCUAGCCUGCCGUGUUGAUUUGGGUUUUGUUUGCUGAUCUGGUUUAUGUGCUUUCAGUAAAGUUGUUCAUAGACCAACUAGUACCUAGUAGCCUCUGGACAAAAAAAAACCCCAGGAGGUAGUUGUGGUGUGGCCCAGAACAUGUUCAGGUUGGUCAGAAAAGUUUUCUUACGUGUGUCAUGCACUACUGAGUACAAGAUGUAUCUCAUGACAUGGAGGCUUAACAAACCAUGGAAGAGCUUUGGUAAUCAUAACUUAGGGAAAAUAUUACUCUUCAGCUUCAUUCUGUUUUGCUUGAUCGGGCUUAUAUAUGAUGGAUAAAUUUUCUUAUAAAGGGAGAAAAAUCUACGUUUCAAAAGCUUUUUUUUGUGAAGCUCAUUUAAACUGGUUUUAUGUGGUUCCUUAAUCCAGAAGAUUUUAUGUCUGCCUGAGCAAACACACCAAGUUAUUUUUGACACCAAAAACACCCCAACAAGACUGUGUAGUUUGAUAGUGUCCCUAUUAUGGGAAAAUAAUGAAACCAUAUACUACCUACAGUCCUUUCAUUCUUGAUUUUUUGCCCUGCUUUUGGCACAAAACUACCUUAACAUUAAUUUACCUCUUCAUUUUUAUUUCCAAACUUCCACUGUCCAUGCUGUUUGUACUGAACAGCUUGAACUUUAAGGUUUGGUACAUUUGAGAGAAGCUUUCUUCCUUCAUUUCUCUAAUUCUAAGCUACCUUUGGGUUUCAUUUGCUAUGUUGAGGAGAAAUAAUGUCAUUUUAUUUGCUACUAGUCAUCUUGGUGGGUAUCUGUGUUCCAAGGUUGUUUUAUCUUUUCAAGUUAGAGUUUUCUCUGAACCUGUUCUCCGUAGUUUUCCAUUACACUUUCUUCUUUGUUAGCAACUUUAUUUGCAAUUCUUGCUCUGUUUCUAGAAACAUGAAGUUAACAGCAAUGAUAGUUCUCAUUGUCAUGAGGUGGGCUAAGUAACUCUUACUCUCUCCUUGUGUUUAAAGUGGCUGCAGCACUAUAAAGAUGCUCAUUUGGAAUUAAAUUUUGCUAGUGAUCUAGGAAAUACUUUCAUUUUAGUAGGAAAGGUCUUUUUGGUCAUGCUGUAUUGCAAUCAGACUGUUUCAAAAAUUACCAUAGUAUUACCUACCUUCCCUUUGUGAAUUAUUGUUAUUAGGAAUCACUUCUUAAGUAAUGAAAAAUGAAUUUUAAAAUAUUGUUGCUGGAACCAGGCCAAGUCAAGCCUGUAUUAAUAAGGGGAAGGUUUACUUGGUCAUGUGAAUAUUUUGUACAAAAGGUACUGAAAAUGAAGUGCACUGCUUGAGGUCUUUAGUAAAGCAUAUGAAUGGGGAAUACAGAUACAACAAAAAAUCCUGAUGGUGAUGUUUGUGGUAACUGCAGUGUUGUCUACCAUGGUUAAUGAAUUCUUUCUUCUGCCAAUGUUUGCUCAGUCAGGAGUUAAAGUAUCUAGGAGCUAAUUAUAGCUGCAUAAUUCAUAGUGAACUUUGAUUUUCCUGUGGAGAAAGUGGCUUCACAAAGCAGAGUCCUGUUCAGUAUAUUCCUCUUGUUGUGAUUUUGGAUGAUGUUCACAGGAACUCUACCACUGGUUUUAGAAGUGUAAAAUAAUUUCAGCUGCUAGAUGCUUUGUUGUGAAAUAAAAACGUGGCACCAACUUGUGCUUUUGUAGAUGCCCAGUGUGUAAUUCUAGCAUGAAUUUGUAUAGCUGCCCCAGCAGUGACACACAUCUGUUUAGUUAAGAUUAUUUUUCUCUUGGUAUCUGGAAAAAAAAGUUUGAAACAAUUUUAUAACUUCUGUAUUUGGACACCAAAGGGUUAAAACACUUAAAGUUUAGUAUUUUAAAAUAAUUUUGCUUUAGAAAUUUUACACUAGUAUACUACUGUUUAUAUAGGAAACAAUUUUUUUCACUGUGGGCGUUUUAGUGUUCUGAUCUUUUUUUUUCUCUUUCUUCUUUUGUUUUGUUUUAAUCCUUGUAUCUGCUAAUUUUUGUAUAUAGGAAUAGCUACUAAUUCUUUUGAGAUACAGCCUACUAAAUUUAAAGUAAUUGAAGCCAUGAGUUGACCGGUAACUUUAAUCCAUUCUAUAUAAAUUGCAGUGAAGAACUGAACAAUUGGUUUCAGGAUGGAAGUUAUAAUGCUUUUCAAGGCAUAAAAGGCUUAGUAUCUUGUUGUUAAGGUGGUCACAUGAUAAUGGCUUACAUAUUGAAUAAUGUGCUACAGCACUUUAUGUAUGUUAAUGUACUUUUAAUCUUAAUGUUGCCUGCAAAUAUGUGAUCCCUUAUGAUAUAAGUUUCCUGUUUAUGCACCAUUGCCCGUUUAAAUCAAACAGAAGAUUCUGAAACUGUAAAAACUACACAUGUCAAUGUUUUACAGCUACGUAAUUCGAAUUGACUUGAUUUUUUCAAGUAAUCCUAGAAAGGGGGAGCAUUCCAUAUAGAAACUGCUGAAACUGCCACAGGUGCUUCUCCGAAAACCUUACAGUUGUGGCAUUGAAUGUUCAGUAUCGCUUCCUUUCUGCACACAAGGCAUACUGUUGAGCUUGAGAAAUGCCAGUGGCCUGACAGCAGCAGACCUUGCACAUACCCAGGGCUUCCAAGAAUGUGCCCAGUUUCUCUUGAACCUCCAGAACUGUCACCUGAAUCGUUUCUAUAGCAAUGGCACCUUAAAUGGGGUUCAUCAGAAUGCAGGUCCCAAUCCAUUCAGUGGUGGGACAAGUCGAAAGAGAUCCUUUGAAGAUACGGAGUCUGCUGGAGUGAAGAAGGCUAGAACAGAAGCCUACAGCUUUGAUGGCUUAAUACCAAUGCUGAAUGGAGGAGCUGAGGACGAUGCUGACAAUAUGCACAUUGAUAGAGAGUUUGCUGUUGUAUCAGAUAUGAAUAGCAGUAGCUCCAUAUUGAAUGCACUGACAAAUGGAUGUGCCAUCAAUGGACAUUUGGAUUUCACCACCGCACAGCAGCUCAGUGGGAUGGAUGCCAGGCGUGAGGAGUGCUUAGCAUUAACACCUAACGGAGUAAUGCCUGGAGUAACUUCUCCCAGCAGGCAUCGGAUUCACACCAGUAACGGCACCGAGGAGCCCGACAAAGCCAUGAGCAAUUCCACCGAAAUGUGCGGAUCUCUGCACCUGAACGGGAGCCCGAGCAGCUGUGUUUCUAACCGGCCCUCGUGGGUGGAAGACCCUGGAGACACUUUGCACUAUGGACACUACCAUGGUUUUGGGGAUACUGCUGAAAGCAUCCCUGAACUCAGUAGUGUUGUUGAGCAUUCCAAUUCUGUCAAGGUCGAACAGAGAUAUGACAAUACUGUUCUAGGCAC